AAGAGCUCUUUCUUGAUUCUGNGGGNGGUGGUGCAUGNCCGUUCUUAGUUGGUGGGUUNCCUUGUCAGGUUGAUUCCGGUAACGAACGAGACCUCAGCCUGCUAAAUAGUCACGGCUACUUUUUUGUAGCCGUCCGACUUCUUAGAGGGACUAUUGUCGUUUAGGCAAUGGAAGUGUGAGGCAAUAACAGGUCUGUGAUGCCCUUAGAUGUUCUGGGCCGCACGCGCGCUACACUGUUGCAUUCAACGAGCCUAUCCUUGACCGAGAGGUCCGGGUAAUCUUUGAAACUGCAACGUGAUGGGGAUAGAUUAUUGCAAUUAUUAGUCUUCAACGAGGAAUGCCUAGUAAGCGCGAGUCAUCAGCUCGCGUUGAUUACGUCCCUGCCCUUUGUACACACCGCCCGUCGCUCCUACCGAUUGGGUGUGCUGGUGAAGUGUUCGGAUUGGUUUUAGUUGAUGGCAACAUUGGCUUUUACUGAGAAGAUCAUUAAACCCUCCCACCUAGAGGAAGGAGAAGUCGUAACAAGGU
Molecule: ribosomal RNA, 528 nt
Filed under: uncultured Chlorophyta
Lineage: Eukaryota; Viridiplantae; Chlorophyta
Description: SSU rRNA
Rfam family: Eukaryotic small subunit ribosomal RNA
Source: RNAcentral